CACGUAGGCUGUUUAUUAAGUCAGAUGUGAAAGCCCCGGGCUUAACCUGGGAACUGCAUUUGAUACUGGUAAACUAGAGUAUGGUAGAGGGGGGUAGAAUUCCUAGUGUAGCGGUGAAAUGCGUAGAUAUUAGGAGGAAUACCAGUGGCGAAGGCGGCCCCCUGGACCAAUACUGACGCUGAGGUACGAAAGCGUGGGUAGCGAACA
RNAcentral lists this ribosomal RNA (207 nucleotides) under uncultured bacterium. RNAcentral describes it as "partial 16S ribosomal RNA". It matches the Rfam family "Bacterial small subunit ribosomal RNA", at positions 568 to 774 of the family's 1533-position model. The record is from RNAcentral.